This is a long non-coding RNA of Leptidea sinapis, 2108 nucleotides long. RefSeq lists it as uncharacterized. Lineage: Eukaryota; Metazoa; Arthropoda; Insecta; Lepidoptera; Pieridae. The transcript is spliced from 4 exons. The record is from RefSeq and is a predicted model, not a curated record.
ACCGACCGGUGACCACGCAUAGGACGUGAUUCGGUGUCAACUUUUGUGAAUUUAUCAAAUUGCACCAAUCCCGGCCUGCAUGCGGUCACCCGUCUCCAGAAGCAGCUGCGCACGUGGCACUGGCAUCCAGCAGUCACAACUCCGACCCGCAGGUCAAGACGCCGGAACAAACAGAAGGUCAAUGAAGACGGACCGAUUGUUUUUUAUAAAAGAGGAGGACAAACUGCCGCACACAUUCUCUUCCAACACCAGAGCAAUCACAGGAGCAUUGCCGCCCUUCGAGGAAUGCGCUUGUUUUGAAGGUCCUAUUACAAAAGGGAUUGUGCUGUCGACUGCUGCAGUCAACAGGUCGACGUGCUACUAGUAGCCCGUACCCACUGAAAAGCAGUGUUGCAAGGUGUUUCGUCUACCCAAGGCUUAGCAGACAUUGAUUUGCCGAAUGCUGAAACGAAACUGAACACGUGUCGACUCUAUCGGAAACAAAUCUUAGCCAACAUCAAGAGAAACUCAAAACAUUUGAAGACUGUUAUAAUUAAUUGUGUUAAAUGUAUCAUAAUAAUAUGUCAUUAAUUAAUCUUAUGCCAACUAACUGCUCGCACAUAAAUGUGACAGGUUUUGCGAGUACCUACAUAUUAUGUUUUCCUUGUAAUGUCUAAGAGAUUAAUUAAGUUCAUUAAAUGAAAUAAAAUAACUAGAAUUUGGUUUGAAGAAGAUAAGUACCACUCAUAUUAUCUAUUAUGACAUCCUCUCCUCCUCCCUGCGUCGUAAUCCUCAGUACUGAGGGUCGUGACCACCCCUCUGUAUCACUUUCUCACGUAUGAUCGCUCUCCAUCUAUUCCUGUCUCUGGCGGUGUGAAAGGCAUUGUGAACCGUAGAGUCGAGGGCAGAGCGGAUCUGGUCUUCCCAUCUAUUUUUCCGACCAAUAUGAGCCUCUCAAGGUUUCCAUGGUCUUUAUGACAUACCUGGUAAAUAAAAGUUUAAGUAGGCCUUUCAGUAUCUACACGGUAACAGCAGAAUAGAACCGACGAAACAUUGUUCUAUAUAAAGCGAAGCGCAAAUGCUUAUGAUAAUAUUGAUUGUGUCUUGUAUCACUGAAUAUUUAUAAGAGUUGACGUCAAUACAUAUAAAUAAAGAGGAAGAUUGGAUCUAUAUUACCUGCGUGGCUUAGCUCGGUGACAUUAUUAAUUUGUUCAUUUCAUAUACAGUAAUGUUGCAGUGCACCAUGCAGCGUAGCGAAACUAAGGAAAAAGCGAUUCACUCGAUUGUAUGAAACGCGCAGUCAUUGAUAGAUUGACAGAUGACGGCUAUAAUCUUGUAAAAAACGGAGAUAACCGAAAUCCACUAUGUUUUAAACAACUGUUCGCUUUCUAACUUAGCCGGAUUAUAUUUCGUCGCCAAUCGCCAUACUGUAAUUACUACUAUUUCAAACUUAUGUCAAAUCUCUGCACGUUUCAUACUAAACUAAAUUUCAAGUUCUAGUAUUCCUGGCCUGUUUUUAUCGGUUAUCUAACAGCAAGAGACUAUCUAGACGUAUUUAUACGUCUAAGAUUUAUAACUUUUGUACAAAAACGAAACUCACCGACAUACUGAAAAGAAUAGAUCAACAGAAAUGUAGGUUGGCAGGGUAUUUGAUGCCAGACACAGAAGGUAAACCAAUGGUAUCCAUGGGAUGGCAAGCGAAACGGAGGUAGGCAGUUUACCAGAUGGGAUGAUGAAAUUAAGUUAACCGUGGGUCCAAUCUGGAGGAGGGUCACACGAUAUAGGACGCAAUGGAUAUAUUUAGAGGCACUAUCUACUAAUAUCUGGUAAAUUUAGACUAAAAAUUAUUGAAUGUACCCAUUUAGUUUCGGCAUUAAAAAGCUGAUUAUAAUUAGUUCGUAUUUAAAAGUCAAGGUGUUAUGAAAACACAAAAUUGAACUAUCUGUCGAACAGAAUAUCAACACUCGAAUUUUAUCCUAUUUCCAUAAAAAAUAUUAUUUUACCAUUAUUUGAUUUAACCGUUGGUAUUAUAAGAUUUUUUGAAUUUUUCGUUCGCAAUUAUAAAUAAUCGGUUAGUUUUUUACUUUGCCCGUGUAGGUAAUGGACAGCUAUUGACUUUUGUACUAUUA